ACACCUCCGGCUGUAAGGAAGUGCUUCGCGCACGGGCCCUUUUUAGGG
This 48-nucleotide non-coding RNA is filed under the name unclassified sequences. RNAcentral describes it as "ssnA RNA". It matches the Rfam family "ssnA RNA". The record is from RNAcentral.